This is a long non-coding RNA of Lycium barbarum (goji berry), 647 nucleotides long. RefSeq lists it as uncharacterized. NCBI's taxonomy places the organism in Eukaryota, Viridiplantae, Streptophyta, Magnoliopsida, Solanales, Solanaceae. The record is from RefSeq and is a predicted model, not a curated record. The transcript has 2 exons.
ACAGCCCUAAACCGAACAGCCCCCUCCCAACGUCAUCGACGCCACCCCACCCCACCUCCCAUCACGUCACCUCACCACCACCACGCCCAUAUCCCACAAAAUCCGCUACGUACACCCCUCUUCUCUUUUCUCACACUCCUCUUGAAUAACCCAAAAAAUCUCAUCUGUUUUUUCUUAAAAAAAAAAAAAAAAAUCUCUUUUACCUUUAUGUUUGUUUUUUUUGUCGAAUCCUUGGUGGUUCUCGGCUCUUCAAGAGGAUUCGGAGACUCGAGACGACAACAAGCCUCAGUUCGCUGUCCUGGAAAAGAUGGGAGUUUGUUGGAGUUGUGGCUCAACUCUAAUUCUGCCCAGGUCAUUGGAGCAGUCAGCAGCAGAUUUAUUUGCUCGUGUCUAGCUGUCCCCCUACUUUCGCGUCAAGAGAAUCCGCGUCCUUCUUCCUCUCAAAUUUUGUCACAUUUCGUAUAUGAAAAUAUAUAUUACCUUGUGACUAACAUUUUGCUCUUUGCAUUGACUACUUUGCUUUGCUUUGUUGGGGUCGUACAAGCCAUUUAAGUGUGUUAGUAAACUUAGUCACUCGCUUUCCCUUCCAAGUACUGGAACUUAGUAUAAUUAUUCAUUAUAUUCUAUUCAUUACAUUGGAAUAGUCA